Non-coding RNA from Pimephales promelas (fathead minnow), 434 nucleotides. NCBI's taxonomy places the organism in Eukaryota, Metazoa, Chordata, Actinopteri, Cypriniformes, Leuciscidae. The record is from the annotation of a RefSeq genome assembly.
CAGUUUAUACAUUCAUCUGAUCACUAGAGGGAGGGAAGAACCGCUUCAGUCCAUUCAAACUGUGAAACACCAUGAUCUCUUCAUCUUUAGUGUUUCUGGCUGUAGUUUCCUGUAUAGAUUCAUAUGAACUCACUCAGCCUGAGUCUCUGACUGUCCGUCCUGAUGCCACUCUCACUAUCAGCUGUAAAGUCUCCUAUUCAGUUACUAGCUAUGCUACAGCCUGGAUUCGUCAGCCUGCAGGAAAAGCUCUGGAAUGGAUUGGGUAUAUCAGCUCUGGUGGAAGCUUAUACUACAAGGAUUCCCUGAAAAGCCAGUUCAGCAUCACCAGAGACACCUCCAGUAACACAAUAACACUGCAGGGAAAGAAUAUGAAAGCUCAAGACACAGCUGUGUAUUAUUGUGCCAGACAAUCACAGUGACAGACGCCAACAGCC